UCAGGAUAAACGCUGGCGGCGUGCUUAACACAUGCAAGUCGAACGGAGUAUCCUUCGGAAGAUUGAAGAGCUUGCUCGGAGAGAUUCUUGGAAUACUUAGUGGCGGACGGGUGAGUAACGCGUGGGUAACCUGCCUCACACAGGGGGAUAACAGUUGGAAACGACUGUUAAUACCGCAUAAGCGCACAGUAUCGCAUGAUACAGUGUGAAAAACUCCGGUGGUGUGAGAUGGACCCGCGUCUGAUUAGCUGGUUGGUGAGGUAACGGCCCACCAAGGCGACGAUCAGUAGCCGGCCUGAGAGGUGAUCGGCCACAUUGGAACUGAGAUACGGUCCAGACUCCUACGGGAGGCAGCAGUGGGGAAUAUUGGGCAAUGGGCGAAAAGCCUGACCCAGCAACGCCGCGUGAGGGAAGAAGGGUUUCGGCUCGUAAACCUCUGUCCUAUGGGACGAAGGAAGUGACGGUACCAUAGGAGGAAGCCCCGGCUAACUACGUGCCAGCCGCCGC
This 507-nucleotide ribosomal RNA is filed under the name uncultured bacterium. RNAcentral's name for it is "bacterial SSU rRNA". It matches the Rfam family "Bacterial small subunit ribosomal RNA", at positions 24 to 518 of the family's 1533-position model. The record is from RNAcentral.